AGGGGCGUAGCUCAGUGGUAGAGCAGCGGCCUUUUAAGCCGAAGGUCGUGGGUUCGAUCCCCACCGCCCCUACCA
Molecule: transfer RNA, 75 nt
Filed under: Acidobacteria bacterium 13_2_20CM_2_57_12
Lineage: Bacteria; Pseudomonadati; Acidobacteriota
Also listed under: 34 other names
Description: tRNA-Lys
Rfam family: tRNA
About the family: Transfer RNA (tRNA) molecules are approximately 80 nucleotides in length. Their secondary structure includes four short double-helical elements and three loops (D, anti-codon, and T loops). Further hydrogen bonds mediate the characteristic L-shaped molecular structure. tRNAs have two regions of fundamental functional importance: the anti-codon, which is responsible for specific mRNA codon recognition, and the 3' end, to which the tRNAs corresponding amino acid is attached (by aminoacyl-tRNA synthetases). tRNAs cope with the degeneracy of the genetic code in two manners: having more than one tRNA (with a specific anti-codon) for a particular amino acid; and 'wobble' base-pairing, i.e. permitting non-standard base-pairing at the 3rd anti-codon position.
Source: RNAcentral